Brachypodium distachyon (stiff brome) is the source of this 509-nucleotide long non-coding RNA. RefSeq lists it as uncharacterized. The record is from RefSeq and is a predicted model, not a curated record. Lineage: Eukaryota; Viridiplantae; Streptophyta; Magnoliopsida; Poales; Poaceae. The transcript has 2 exons.
ACUAUUUUAAUUGGUGUUCAUAGUUUGAUCGUUCAUUCUUCUGUCGGAGUUCAAUUUGAGUUACCCGACAUUUGUUUAUGGUUGUUUUUAAUUUUCUCUGAUAGAUUAUUCGGAGUGCAAUUGUUCCGAGUGUCGUGGAGUACACCAAGUUGAUCUAGACUAAGGCCAAGAAAAGUUACACUUUUGAACAUCUCUGAACUGUGUACUGGCAACCGAUCCAAAGACGCAACAUACAUUGAGAUUCUGAUCCUCACACGUCCGGGUCGCCACAGAUGUAUUUUGCAAUGAAACGUUUUCCUUAUUACAGUGGGUUUUGUUCUAUAGAAAAGUUUCGUAGAACGCAAGAUUCACAUUAAUUUUGGAGGACUUCCAUUGUGAACUCUGGAAACUCUUAAAAAGAUCAUUUGUGUUUCCUUAACAUUCAUAAUAUGUUUUUAUUCUUAUGUAUGGAUCGUAUCCUGUGUAUGAACCAACAACAUAAAAGUCUCGACCUCUAAUUAUGUAUCCAA